UAAACUUUCCAGGACUUCCGGGAAGAAUGGAAGAAGCAAAAACUUAACCACUUACGCUCCCCGAAAGACACUCCUUUGGAACAGCUUAACUUAUUAAAACUAGUGGAGGCCCACUGGGUUUUUUCUUUUUCUUGCAGUUUGGACUUUGUUGCUACACCGAACAGCUGUCCAAAACCUUAGAUGGGCUCCGCCUGCGUUUCCCUAGAGUAAAGGAAACAACCCUCUACCUCCCUGUCCGUGCUUGAAAUGGACGCUUUUAAGCAAUGCCAUUAAAGUUUGUCAUCCCUGGAAAUCUGGAAGUCUUUCCUGAAAAGAGAAGUCCACAUACCACAAAUAUUAGAAAACAGGGACUCGUUCAUAAAGGGAUGAAUGGGUAAAGGGAUGGUGACAGAAAGAGAUGGCACCUAAGGAACAGAUGGAGAGAUAUGACCUUGCUCCACACUUCUUCUCUGAAGCUGGUACCCAGAGGAGGGUGCAGGGGCUCUCCAGGGGGAAGAAGAGAAGAAAAGCAACUGUGGAAAAUUGCAGGUUUCAGAAGACAGUUUUAAAAUCGAAGAGACCCGAUUUCUUCCUUGCACGAUGUCUUUCUUCUUUACUCACACUUCUAACAGAACAGGAUUUCUACAGCUCAUAUGGUUUUGUACAAAGACUUAAAAGGGUCACAAGAAACGUUUGCAGAUGAGAGAACUCACAUAAGCCUCCCCCUGACAGUUACUUUCUAAGCGCCACUUACACUUUCUCACUACAAAUGUAUUCAAGAGAUACUUUUGAUAUAUUUCUAAAAGAGUUUUUCCCCACAUUAUGUCUUACCAAGUCCAGGCUUUCUUAGAAUUAAAGCAGCAUUAGCUGCCUGGCCUUUCAACCAUUCUCUCUUAAUCUUAAAAUGGAAAGAGAAUUUGCUCUCCAUGUGAAUUCUUACUUUUUCUUCCAUAAACCGCUUACCGUUACCAUGGGAUUUAAUAUUUGUUAGUCCAUUUUACAUAAAGUAUAAGGUUGGACAAAGUAAAUGACAUUAGCAGUUAACCGGCAAGUUGGGAUUCUCACCCUUCUGAGACGAUCUCACGUUUCUUUUGUGCAGUUAUGUGUGUGGACGUGCAUCCGUGAAUCUAUGUGGGUGUGGGCUGGUGGCACGUAGAAUUUAGAAUUAUUAAAAAGUAGCUCCUUCUAAUUAA
Long non-coding RNA from Cervus elaphus (red deer), 1172 nucleotides. RefSeq lists it as uncharacterized. The transcript is spliced from 3 exons. The record is from RefSeq and is a predicted model, not a curated record. Lineage: Eukaryota; Metazoa; Chordata; Mammalia; Artiodactyla; Cervidae.